RNAcentral lists this ribosomal RNA (572 nucleotides) under Takifugu ocellatus. RNAcentral describes it as "partial 16S rRNA". It matches the Rfam family "Bacterial large subunit ribosomal RNA", at positions 1816 to 2597 of the family's 2925-position model. Lineage: Eukaryota; Metazoa; Chordata; Actinopteri; Tetraodontiformes; Tetraodontidae. The record is from RNAcentral.
CGCCUCUUGCUUCAAUGAAUAAGAGGUCACGCCUGCCCUGUGACUAUAUGUUUAACGGCCGCGGUAUUUUGACCGUGCAAAGGUAGCGCAAUCACUUGUCCUUUAAAUGUGGACCUGUAUGAAUGGCAUAACGAGGGCUUAGCUGUCUCCUUUCUCAAGUCAAUGAACUUGAUCUCCCCGUGCAGAAGCGGGGAUAUAACCAUAAGACGAGAAGACCCUAUGGAGCUUUAGACAAAAAACAGCCCCUGUCAAUAAACCCUAAAUAAAGGAAAUAAACCUAGUGAACCUGUUUUAAUGUCUUUGGUUGGGGCGACCGCGGGGUAACAAAAAACCCCCAUGUGGAAUGAAAACACCCUUUUUAAAACCAAGAGUCACCACUCUAAGUUACAGAACAUCUGACCAAUAAUGAUCCGGCUAAAGCCGAUUAACGAACCGAGUUACCCUAGGGAUAACAGCGCAAUCCUCUUUUAGAGUCCAUAUCGACAAGAGGGUUUACGACCUCGAUGUUGGAUCAGGACAUCCCAAUGGUGCAGCCGCUAUUAAAGGUUCGUUUGUUCAACGAUUAAAGUCCU